UGUAGUGUAGCUCAGUGGUAGAGUGCUUACCUAGCACGUGUGAGGCCCUGGGUUCCAUCCCUAGCACCACAU
Molecule: transfer RNA, 72 nt
Filed under: Ictidomys tridecemlineatus (thirteen-lined ground squirrel)
Lineage: Eukaryota; Metazoa; Chordata; Mammalia; Rodentia; Sciuridae
Description: Spermophilus tridecemlineatus (thirteen-lined ground squirrel) tRNA
Rfam family: tRNA
About the family: Transfer RNA (tRNA) molecules are approximately 80 nucleotides in length. Their secondary structure includes four short double-helical elements and three loops (D, anti-codon, and T loops).
Source: Rfam by way of RNAcentral